This 253-nucleotide ribosomal RNA is filed under the name uncultured bacterium. RNAcentral's name for it is "partial 16S ribosomal RNA". It matches the Rfam family "Bacterial small subunit ribosomal RNA", at positions 524 to 776 of the family's 1533-position model. The record is from RNAcentral.
UACGGAGGGGGCUAGCGUUGUUCGGAAUUACUGGGCGUAAAGCGCACGUAGGCGGCUUUGUAAGUUAGAGGUGAAAGCCCGGGGCUCAACUCCGGAACUACCUUUAAGACUGCAUCGCUAGAAUUGUGGAGAGGUGAGUGGAAUUCCGAGUGUAGAGGUGAAAUUCGUAGAUAUUCGGAAGAACACCAGUGGCGAAGGCGGCUCACUGGACUGGUAUUGACGCUGAGGUGCGAAAGCGUGGGGAGCAAACAGG